UCCCCUGUAGCUCAGUUGGUUAGAGCGCGAAACUGUUAAUUUCGAUGCCGCACGUUCGAGUCGUGCCGGGGGAG
This 74-nucleotide transfer RNA is filed under the name Anabaena sp. MDT14b. Its description in RNAcentral is "tRNA-Asn". It matches the Rfam family "tRNA". From Rfam's summary of the family: Transfer RNA (tRNA) molecules are approximately 80 nucleotides in length. Lineage: Bacteria; Bacillati; Cyanobacteriota; Cyanophyceae; Nostocales; Nostocaceae. The record is from RNAcentral. RNAcentral also lists the same sequence under 1 other name.